Molecule: RNA transcript, 6824 nt
Organism: Ruditapes philippinarum (Manila clam)
Lineage: Eukaryota; Metazoa; Mollusca; Bivalvia; Venerida; Veneridae
Gene name: zinc finger protein 62-like
Exons: 3
Source: RefSeq, a predicted model, not a curated record
UUCAACCCAGCACUCAUUGUUAGGUGUAUAUGAAAUUUAAAAGCCAGGUUUUGCUUAACUUUAUACUCAUUGUUGACUGAACUGUUAAUUUAUUAUCUAAUUACUGAAAAAAGGGUAGCUGAGUUUGCAGAAAUCUUUGAUUUGUAAACUUAUUCUGGAAGCUGUUUGUUGUUCUUUUCAAUUAAAAUCAUUGAAAAUGAAUUUUGAAGCUUUUUGUUGUAUUUAAUGAGGCAGCAUUGAGUAUGAUGAUAGAUAUUCCUGGUGAUGCUUCAUAUUUGAUGGAAAGUUGGACUUCAACGUGCAUUUAAAAAGGCUCAGUUAUAUGUCAGAUUAAUUUACUAUUGAAGUUGGUAUGUCUUUUGUCCAGUGUGCUAUGUUAUGCUGCACAAUAAGUUAAAAAAAGAAAUGAAAGAAAUAGAGAAAUAAAUAUUAUUGCAAUGAAGAAUGAUUUCUUUGUUCUUUCUUUUUCUCUACUUUGUAGGAAAAUAUUCGUAAACAAAAACAAUAUUAGAAUUCACAAUUUUGAUUAUUUUACAGCAGAUGAUGUCCAUCCUCUGCGGUUGAUAGCAAACAAUUUUUCAAGGAAAGCAAAAGGGAAAUACGAUUCAUUACAGAAAAACUGCUCAAGGGAAAAUCGGACCUUGGCAAGAAGGGAAGGUUACAGUAUGAUGUCUGACGAUUCAAAGAAAAAAAUCGAAUGUGAAACAUGUGGGAAAAGAUUUAACGUAAGAAGUAAAUUGGAACGGCAUAUGGUUGUUCAUACUGGGGAGAAACGAUACUUCUGUGACAUUUGCGGGAAAGGCUUCGGCUUCAGGGAAAGUCUAGGGGAACACUUAAAGCGUAUGCAUACUGAUGGGCAAAAUUUGUCGAAGCAUCGGAAAGAUAAAAUAUGUAGUAUCUGUUUUAAAAAUUUCAAAAGUACAGAAAAAUUAAAAGAGCACAUGGCUUCGCAUACUUCGGGAAAGACGUUCAAAUGCGAUCUAUGUUCGAAGAGUUUUACAUACAAGACUUGUCUGUUAAGACAUCAUCACGAGAGUCACUCGAGGAAAAUGUUUAGUUGUAAUAUUUGCGGGAAAAUGUUUGGUAUAAAGCCGUAUCUUGAUGAGCAUAUGAAAUUUGUACAUAAAUUGGUUAAAUGUGUGAAUAAUUUGGAAGAUAAUGAUGAUAACAAAGAUGAUAAAGAUGAAGGAAACAAUAGCAAUGUUGGAAGUUAUAACGAUGUAGCUAAUGAUAAUGAUGGUAAAGUUAAUGACCAGAUAAAGGAGAAAAGUGAUAUGGACCUUACAUUCAUGGAUACUGUUUUAAAUGAUGCCCAGGAAGACUCUGAUGUAAAGAAAGAACUGAAGAUGAAUGAGAUUCAUCGGUGACAAAUCAGUUUGAAGAAAGCGCAGAAUGGGAAAACGAAUCUCCCGGAUACGUGAUGAUUAACAAAGGGGACCAUAUGAACAUCUUCUGUUGUUCCAUCAAGAGCUGUAGAAAGGCAUUUGGAAGUAAACAAGGGAUGGAGAGACAUGUGUUGACGCAUACCAAGGAAAGACCGUUUCAGUGUAGAUUUUGUUCGUAUCGCAGUUCUCGGAAAGAUACUGUGAAAAAGCAUGAGUUUACACAUAGGUAGUACGGCAUAUGAUUUUUCUUGGGAAAGCAACUUUUUCGGCUUUUGAUGAAAAUUUUUCUCUGAUUUAAUAUAGAGAAAAUAUGUGCAAUUACUUUGAUUUGAGAUUGACUGUGUGUUAUAAUUGGAUUGAAAUUGAUUUGAGUGUUGUAACUAAAUGUUAAGGUUGAUUGACUUGAAUUGAGAUCAACUGUCAAGGCCUUAGUUAUGCUAACAGUGCUGUUACUUGUGAUUUUUAAUGCCAAGAAAAAAACAAAACAAGGGUUUAUUUCCAUCUGAGGUUACUUAUCAGGAUUAUUGGUAAAUUUCUAAGUGAUUUGAUGAUUGGAAUUGUGGGUACACAUUCAUGAGAUAUGUUGUUGGUAUUGACCAAUCAGAAAACAGAAUUUACCAAACCAGCCAAUCAGAAAGAAGGAUACAAGUUGGCCAAUUAGAGAGUAGUAAUUCGAAUUUUGAACAGCAGCCAUAUUUGGAAUUGUUACAUGAUGGCAUGAAAAUUCUGGUUUGUCAGUUUGAAAAUUGCGGGAAAACGUUUGCUGCCAAACAUAUGAUGGUGAGGCAUUUAAGAGUACACACCAAGGAGAAGCCGUUUAUAUGCGUGUAUUGUGGAUUUCAGUGUACACGGAAAGAUAAUCUAAGACAGCAUAUAAGGUGUAAACAUGAACAGUUUCUACUGCAAAUGAACAGUGACCAAGAGACAAAGUUAGCUUAGACAUUAAUAUUUAUGUUGAAAGUUAGGUUUGGAAAUAUCAUGUGUGUAAUACUAUGUUGAAAGCUUGGUUUUGAAACAUUAAGUGUGCAGGUUUUGAAACAUUAAGUGUGCAAUACUAUUUUAAAAGUGUGGUUGUGCAAAACAUUCAGUGUGCAAUACAUAAACAUGAACAGACUAGACAUAGUGGUAGUUCUUAAGAUGUACAUAUUAACUGAAAUUAGUCAACAUUAUUAACGUUGAAGUCGGAAUUAACUUUUAAGCAUUAAAGUGUUGAACACGUAACAUAUUUGUUUAAAUAAGGUAAAAAACAUGUGUAUUAUAUUGCAAGGUGUAAACAUUUUAUUGAAUAUAAAUGUGUAAAUGUCUUAAACGUAAAGUGUUGAGAAAUAGUUCAGGCAGCUGUGGUUGUGACAACAAACCUAGUGACAAGUGAUUAUUAUUUGUGAAGGUUGUGUAGGUUUUUGUUGAACAUUAAAUGUCAGAAAAGUUUUUCAGUAUUAUUCAAAAUGUUAUAAGAAUAUUUCCGCAUGACACUUAUUUUACGGCAGUUCUUAUCCUUUUUGCAUUGCAUAGAAAAUCUGCUAAUAACACAUUCUAUGACCAAAGUUAAAAUUAUGCCCUUAUAGCAGAUUCUUUCACCGAGGUUCAGAUUUGCUUUUAUAGAAUAGAUACUUUCACCAAGGCUCAGCAUAUGCUUUUAAAGCACAGAUACUUUCACCAAGGCUCAGAUUAUGUUUACUUUCACCAAGGCUCAGAAUAUGUUUUUACAAUACAGAUACUUUCACCAAGACUCAGAUUAUGUUUCUAUAGCACAGAUACUUUCACCAAGGCUCAGAAUAUGCUUUUAUAGAACAGAUACUUUCACCAAGGCUCAGAAUAUGUUUUUACAAUACAGAUACUUUCACCAAGGCUCAAAUUAUGCUUUUAUAGAACAGAUACUUUCACCAAGGCUCAGAAUAUGUUUUUACAAUACAGAUACUUUCACCAAGGCUCAAAUUAUGCUUUUAUAGAACAGAUACUUUCACCAAGGCUCAGAAUAUGUUUUUACAAUAUAGAUAUUUUCACCAAGGCUCAAAUUAUGCUUUUAUAGCAUAUAGUUUCACCAAGGCCCGAAAUAUGCUCAAUGAGUGUGAGAAUUUGUGUUACUUGAAAUUGUUGUGUUAUUGAUUUGAGACAAAAGCCUGAUUCAGACUAAAAAAUAUUAAACAAUUUUACAUUUUAUUAUGAAAUAUAAUGCAUGUUUUUUUUUCUCCAGGAUUUUUGGAACUUGACCCAUACCCAUGGUAUUUGGAAUUUCAGCGACAUUUUGUUAAAAAUUGUAAAAAAUGCAUGACUCAAAUAUUUAAGCACCAUAACAGUGAAGGAGUCCUUAUUUUCAAAGUUUUUAGAAUUUGUAAUUCAAGAAUUUUAUUUUGACCAUUUCAUUUGGGAAUUUUUUCCUGUGGAUUGGGAAAAUGAUACACUAUUUUCAAUUGGGAAUAUGAACGAAUAGGUGCUAUAAAAUUAUAAUAAGCCAAAAAAAAAAAAAAGCUGAUUCUAUUGUGUUUAUCUUAUUUUAUGUGCAAUUUUAUUGUAUUUACAUUGACAUUGCAACAUGUUUGAAAGGUCUAAAAAUAAAUUAACUUUAACUUUCUACAUGCAUCAGGGUCAGGAGAAAUGGAAAUGUACAAACGCAGUAAAGACCAUCCUUAUGUUUGACCUAACACAGGGUAGUUGAUGAAGACAAUGUGUAGGGACACAUACUUAGCUUAUUUCUUCACUUGAAAAUGACUGUAUUUUCACCAGGAAACGUAUAUGUAUACAAUAGUUUGUUUGUUUGUUUAAUUGGGUUUUAUGUCCCACCGACACAGUGCAGGUCAUAUGGUGACGUUCCAGCUUUACUGGUGGAGGAAGACCUCAGAUGCAUUUCCGUGCAUUAUUUCAGGCAUGAAAGGCCACCUUAGUAGAACCACCAAUGUUCCAUAUACAAUAAUAAUUAAUGAUAGUAAAUAAGUAAUGUAGGUACUUCACUAGAUUAUGUUUACAUUUUAUUAUGUUAUAAUUUUCAGGAACUCUGGUAGAUUCUGAAGCCACGCCCACAUAUAUUUCACCCAAUCAGAGUGAAGAUGCUCUCGACUCGUACAUUGAUAUGAAUAAUAGUGCAGUAUACGUGUGUUCCCAUGGAAACUGCGGAAAAAGAUUUAAAACGAAGUAUAUGAUUUCGCGUCAUAUGAAAAUACACUGGAAGGAGAAACCGUUUGCCUGCAGAUUUUGUGAUUACAAGUGUGCAAGAAAAGAUUAUCUUAGAGUGCAUGAAAGUAAUAGGCAUGGAUCUCAUUUUAUUUGGACGGGAUGAUGAAUUUGAACAUACGAUUCUGGUGUUGGAUACAUUGGCACGGAAAAAAAACUGCGUCAAGAAUUGUGCUAAAUUGGAUCAGUUAUAGCAUAAUCAUUUGGAAUAUAACAAAGGGUUUGUCAUAUGUUUAAGUGAAUUAGUGCAACAAGACUGGUUUCACAGAGUGACAUUCUUGGGCUAUUUUUAGAUACAACCAUUGUGUCAACAGAUUGGUUAUACUUUGGUGAAUAGUAGCUUUUGGAAAAGCGUUCAGGAAUUUAAAUUUGAACUGUUUGCUUGCAUAUCUAUAGUAGUUCAACAGCUGUUGUCAAGUGCAUUUUAAAAUGAUACAUAUUUAUUCAAUGCUGUUGUGAAGUGUUUUUUUCUAUUCAUUCUAUGGAUGUUUCAUUGAUUAAUUAAUAACAAAAUGAAAGUGAUGUGUGAAAGUGCAGUGAGAUUCAACCCAUUCAUACGUUAACAUUAACAGUGUCUUUUGUUUCUGUGCCGGCCCUCAACUUUGCUAAAGAGUUUGAGCAUUGGAGGUUACUGGUUGGAUCUCUGGGGUGCAAUGCAUAAAAACUCUGUGAAAAUAGAGAGAAAAUAAACUCCGGAAUAAAGAAUAUUUGGGUUUUUCCCAGCUUAUCUGUAGACACAAACCUUUACAGAUACAGCUUCAAAAAUGAGCAAAGCAGGUUGCCUAAUCUAUUGCGACACUCUGAUAAUGCAGCUAUAACGGUAAAAGUUUAUUUGUACGGAAGAGCUGGGAUUAACCCAUAUUUGCAUAUCUGAGUUCCGGAUAACGUCUAUUGAUCUUUUGCAUUACUCAAAUGAUCAUUUGUCUCUCUUGACUGAUUCAGAAAUUAUAUGGGAUUUAAGACUAGUCGGUUAAUUUUGCAAAGAAAUUUGUAGAAACUGGUUUGAUAUCCAGGAAAGCCUGUUUGGUGAAUCAACCAUUGAGAUAUUAAAAUUGUCUUGCUUAUUUGAUUCUGGUAUUUUAUGACGUUAAAUGCAAUGAAGUAAAAUUUUCAUAUUGUUCAAUAUGUAUUGUGACCUAUUUAUUUUUUAUGAUAAUGUUUUAUUCCCUGAUUUCUAGGUGUUAAUUGUUUUGUUAAAAUGCUUUGAUUAAAAAAUGAAUAAGAUAAUUCUGAAAGUUAUCUUUUUGUUUUGAUCUUGUCUUUUUACAACGCAUGCAGCUUUUCGGAAAAUGAAUGUUUUGUUAUAUUAUAUUAUUUAUAAACAUUUUAAGGCUUUCAAUUAUCUAAAAAGACUGUGUAAAUUAUAAUUUCAGUGAGUAUAGGGGUGAAAAUUAUAAGAUUAAAUGAUUGUAGGCCUUGGAAAUGUUGAAAGCAAAAGCUAGAUAUUACUCACUAUCUGAGGGCCCACAGUUCACGAUUUUUAUAUGCCAAAAGCAAAUACAUGUAUUGUCUGAAAUUUCAACUACAAGGGCAAAGGACGUGAAAAUUCUCGCUCCUUAGGUAUAGGUACUGUUUCCUCCAAAACAGCAUACUUUCUGUCAAGAAAUUGUUGAUGGUUGACAAAUUUUGACCAUUCAGUUUACAUCACUGUUAAUUGGGUUCCCAGAUGGUGUACAUUUCAUGUGCGCCUUAAUUCUUGCAUUAUGCUGGUAUAAAAAUGCUUGUUCCAAUUUAUAGCUCUUAACUGCAUGACAUUACUGUAUGGAAAACCAUAUAGUGGACAUCCUUCUUUACCAGUUGUGAAGCAGAAAUGCUCGUGAUUAUUGUUAGCUAUACAUGAUUGACACCUACAAAAAUGUUACAUUGGUUGGACGUAUAUGGAUCCUUCUUUAACAGUUGUAAAGCACAAAUGCUUGUGAUUAUUUUUAGCUACACCAGAUUGACACCUACAAAACUGUAACGCUGGACAUGCAAUUUGACCCAUGUAUAAUUCCAUGGUCCUGCAGAAAUAAUAAAAAUUGUGCAUGUGAUGUGUACAUUUCAUAGAAUGAUGUUUCGGCAUAGAUAAAAACAAAUAAAAAUUCAGGAAUUCUCUUAUCUUUUCAGAUUUACCAGUAUUUCCUGUUCUUCUGACUUGUUACCCUCAUGCAAUUGACAAGAAUAUUACAACCAGUCUGGCAAUUACUCCAAAUGUAAAACCAGCCGAGCCAAAAAAUGUACCAAUCGGCACACCGAACAGUUAUGGUUAUACAUGCAUACGUGUUGAUGGAC